RNAcentral lists this unclassified non-coding RNA (174 nucleotides) under uncultured fungus. Its description in RNAcentral is "sequence contains ITS1". The record is from RNAcentral. Lineage: Eukaryota; Fungi.
GUUUUCGCGUUUCGGUUGUGCGCUUCAGCCAGACGGGGGGGUUGGGUGCCGGGAGGGCGCCGCGCGGCCGCGAGCGGCCCCGCAGAGCGCCCUCCCAAGCAGCAGACGCGGUCCGCAUCGGUGUGUUAUCAAUGAGAUUCGGUAAUGAUCCUUCCGCAGGUUCACCUACGGAAA